GUGCCAGCCGCCGCGGUAAUACGUAGGGACCAAGCGUUGUUCGGAUUUACUGGGCGUAAAGGGCGCGUAGGCGGCGUGUUAAGUCAGCUGUGAAAUCUCCAAGCUUAACUUGGAACGGUCAGCUGAUACUGAUGUGCUAGAGUGCAGAAAGGGCAAUCGGAAUUCUUGGUGUAGCGGUGAAAUGCGUAGAUAUCAAGAGGAACACCUGAGGCGAAGGCGGGUUGCUAGGCUGACACUGACGCUGAGGCGCGAAAGCUAGGGUAGCAAACGGGAUUAGAUACCCCAGUAGUCC
This 292-nucleotide ribosomal RNA is filed under the name uncultured bacterium. RNAcentral describes it as "partial 16S ribosomal RNA". It matches the Rfam family "Bacterial small subunit ribosomal RNA", at positions 505 to 796 of the family's 1533-position model. The record is from RNAcentral.